Molecule: small nucleolar RNA, 135 nt
Organism: Octodon degus (degu)
Lineage: Eukaryota; Metazoa; Chordata; Mammalia; Rodentia; Octodontidae
Gene: SNORA70
Rfam family: Small nucleolar RNA SNORA70
About the family: snoRNA U70 seems to be exclusive to mammals and is a member of the H/ACA class of snoRNA which contain H (ANANNA) and ACA box motifs.
Source: Ensembl
UGGCAGUCAGUGAAGCCAACGGUGUUCAUUUGCUGGUGGGUACACAAUGUGCAGUGUCUACCAUUAGCAACCCCAUUGGUAGGGUGUUCAGGCUGUUUCUUGUACAGGCUGUCUGAAGGGGCCUUAGGGAUGCUG